GCUGUGUGUGGUGCCCUACCCGGAAGGUACUGAUCACCUAGCCUAUGUGUCAUUAGUACCUGUCUGGGUAGAGUAACUCUCAACAAGAACAACAU
MicroRNA precursor from Equus caballus (horse), 95 nucleotides. The record is from Ensembl. Lineage: Eukaryota; Metazoa; Chordata; Mammalia; Perissodactyla; Equidae.